GCAAACUUUGAGAGUAAUCCCUGCUCUCUCAUUUUUUCUUAAGUUCUACUUGCUGUGAUAACGGACCUGUAAACUCAGUGAUAUUCUACUCAAAGCUACAGUGCUGAUGCGGACUGUCUGUGUACUAUACACCAAUUAGCCAAUCCCGGGACCCCUAAUGAACUGGAGCCAAUGACGUUCCGCUAUGUGUUGGAGGUGUGUCAAGCCUGGGUCUUUCAAAAAGCAUCAGCGGUGUACUUUUUAUAUCACUCUUGUGAAAGUCAGGACGUUACCUGACGAAACGCGUAGAGACUCUCCUCUUUGCUCUACCACGUCCUUGGUGAUACCCGGUUUUUCACGUUGGAGUAUCCCCUAGUCCGGCGCAGUUUCCUGUGGAGUUUCCGGAAGUCCCUCAGAUGAGCGCAAGGACAGGGUGAAAGAUUGCAGACCCACCGUAACCGGUUAAGAACUUUGUGAUGUGAUGAUUGUGCCUGUUAUUAUCUAACAUUUUGUACAUGCGAUUUUUUGCGCUUUUACUUGUGUUCUAAUUAAACAAUAUUACUCUUA
Molecule: long non-coding RNA, 546 nt
Organism: Bombina bombina (fire-bellied toad)
Lineage: Eukaryota; Metazoa; Chordata; Amphibia; Anura; Bombinatoridae
Exons: 2
Source: RefSeq, a predicted model, not a curated record